GUAACGGCGAGUGAAGCGGCAACAGCUCAAAUUUGAAAUCUGGUCCCCAGGGCCCGAGUUGUAAUUUGUAGAGGAUGCUUUUGGCGAGGCGCCUUCCGAGUUCCCUGGAACGGGACGCCACAGAGGGUGAGAGCCCCGUCUGGUCGGAUGCCAAGCCUAUGUAAAGCUCCUUCGACGAGUCGAGUAGUUUGGGAAUGCUGCUCAAAAUGGGAGGUAUAUGUCUUCUAAAGCUAAAUAUUGGCCAGAGACCGAUAGCGCACAAGUAGAGUGAUCGAAAGAUGAAAAGCACUUUGAAAAGAGGGUUAAAAAGUACGUGAAAUUGUUGAAAGGGAAGCGCCUAUGACCAGACUUGGGCCCGGUGAAUCAUCCAGCGUUCUCGCUGGUGCACUUUGCCGGGCACAGGCCAGCAUCAGUUUGGCGCGGGGGAUAAAGGCUUCGGGAAUGUGGCUCCCUCGGGAGUGUUAUAGCCCGUUGUGUAAUACCCUGCGCCGGACUGAGGUACGCGCUCCGCAAGGAUGCUGGCGUAAUGGUCAUCAGCGACCCGUCUUGAAACACGGACCAAGGAGUCGUCUUCGUAUGCGAGUGUUCGGGUGUAAAACCCCUACGCGUAAUGAAAGUGAACGCAGGUGAGAGCUUCGGCGCAUCAUCGACCGAUCCUGAUGUUCUCGGAUGGAUUUGAGUAAGAGCAUACGGGGCCGGACCCGAAAGAAGGUGAACUAUGCCUGUAUAGGGUGAAGCCAGAGGAAACUCUGGUGGAGGCUCGCAGCGGUUCUGACGUGCGAAUCGAUCGUCAAAUAUGGGCAUGGGGGCGAAAGACUAAUCGAACCUUCUAGUAGCUGGUUUCCGCCGAAGUUUCCCUCAGGAUAGCAGUGUUGAACUCAGUUUUAUGAGGUAAAGCGAAUGAUUAGGGACUCGGGGGCGCUAUUUAGCCUUCAUCCAUUCUCAAACUUUAAAUAUGUAAGAAGCCCUUGUUACUUAGCUGAACGUGGGCAUUCGAAUGUAUCAACACUAGUGGGCCAUUUUUGGUAAGCAGAACUGGCGAUGCGGGAUGAACCGAACGCGAGGUUAAGGUGCCGGAGUGGACGCUCAUCAGACACCACAAAAGGUGUUAGUACAUCUUGACAGCAGGACGGUGGCCAUGGAAGUCGGAAUCCGCUAAGGACUGUGUAACAACUCACCUGCCGAAUGUACUAGCCCUGAAAAUGGAUGGCGCUCAAGCGUCCCACCCAUACCUCGCCCUCAGGGUAGAAACGAAGCCCUGAGGAGUAGGCGGACGUGGAGGUCAGUGACGAAGCCUAA
Molecule: ribosomal RNA, 1299 nt
Filed under: Lecanicillium sp. VS6320
Lineage: Eukaryota; Fungi; Ascomycota; Sordariomycetes; Hypocreales; Cordycipitaceae
Also listed under: 1 other name
Description: eukaryotic LSU rRNA
Rfam family: Eukaryotic large subunit ribosomal RNA
Source: RNAcentral